UGAAAAUAAUCCAGAAGGACCUCGCCGCUUUAGAGCUUCUGGACGUCAUCAAUUUCGCCCCUUUCGGUACCAGCAUCUAGGCCAAUUUGCGACUCUGGGUGGAGAUCAGGCGGCAGCAGAACUGCCUGGCGACUGGGUUUCUGUGGGUCACAGCACACAGUGGCUGUGGUAUUCUGUAUAUGCAAGCAAGCAAGUCAGCUGGCGCACGAGGUUCUUAGUGGUAUCUGAUUGGACAAGGAGAUACAUUUUUGGCAGAGAUUCAAGUCGAAUUUGAGGCAAUUUCCGUCUUUUAUACAAAAAUAAACCAUCUGGGACUUGGGCUUGAGAUUCUGGAAGAAUU
Molecule: non-coding RNA, 340 nt
Organism: Camellia sinensis
Lineage: Eukaryota; Viridiplantae; Streptophyta; Magnoliopsida; Ericales; Theaceae
Source: RefSeq, a predicted model, not a curated record